AUUUAUAUAAUAUAAUAAUUAUAUUUGACUUCCAAUCAAAAAAUCUAAUCCUUAGUAUAAAUA
RNAcentral lists this transfer RNA (63 nucleotides) under Staphylinidae sp. BMNH 1274705. Its description in RNAcentral is "tRNA-Gly". The record is from RNAcentral. Lineage: Eukaryota; Metazoa; Arthropoda; Insecta; Coleoptera; Staphylinidae.